This 440-nucleotide ribosomal RNA is filed under the name uncultured bacterium. RNAcentral's name for it is "bacterial SSU rRNA". It matches the Rfam family "Bacterial small subunit ribosomal RNA", at positions 337 to 793 of the family's 1533-position model. The record is from RNAcentral.
GCCUACGGGGCGCAGCAGUAGGGAAUAUUGCACAAUGGGCGCAAGCCUGAUGCAGCAACGCCGCGUGCGCGAUGAAGGCCUUCGGGUUGUAAAGCGCUUUUCGGGGAGAUGAGGAAGGACAGUAUCCCCGGAAUAAGGCUCGGCUAACUACGUGCCAGCAGCCGCGGUAAAACGUAGGAGCCAAGCGUUAUCCGAAUUCACUGGGCGUAAAGCGUGUGCAGGCGGGCUCGUAAGUUGGAUGUGAAAUCUCCUGGCUCAACUGGGAGAGGCCGUUCAAUACUGUGAGCCUCGAGGGCAACAGAGGGAGGUGGAAUUCCCGGUGUAGUGGUGAAAUGCGUAGAUAUCGGGAGGAACACCAGUGGCGAAAGCGGCCUCCUGGGUUGCACCUGACGCUCAGACACGAAAGCUAGGGGAGCGAACGGGAUUAGAUACCCGAGUAU